This 391-nucleotide ribosomal RNA is filed under the name uncultured bacterium. Its description in RNAcentral is "bacterial SSU rRNA". It matches the Rfam family "Bacterial small subunit ribosomal RNA", at positions 505 to 898 of the family's 1533-position model. The record is from RNAcentral.
GUGUCAGCAGCCGCGGUAAUACGGAGGAUGCAAGCGUUAUCCGGAUUCAUUGGGUUUAAAGGGUGCGUAGGCGGCUUUUUAAGUCAGUGGUGAAAUCCUGCCGCUUAACGGUAGAAUUGCCAUUGAUACUGACAAGCUUGAGUCCAGUUGAGGUAAGCGGAAUGUGUAGUGUAGCGGUGAAAUGCUUAGAUAUUACACAGAACACCAAUUGCGAAGGCAGCUUACUAAACUGGCACUGACGCUGAUGCACGAAAGCGUGGGGAGCGAACAGGAUUAGAUACCCUGGUAGUCCACGCCGUAAACGAUGUUCACUCGCUGUUUGCGAUACACAGCAAGCGGCCAAGCGAAAGCAUUAAGUGAACCACCUGGGGAGUACGAUCGCAAGGUUGAA